AAGUCGUAACAAGGUUUCCGUAGGUGAACCUGCGGAAGGAUCAUUAACACGUAUCCAACGAUACAAACUAAUACGCAGAACCUAAGGUCCCCGUGCAUUAAAGUUCGACGUCGUCAGGAUUGAGUUGUGGUGGGUCCCCGGGCUUCACGGUCCGGUGUGGCAUGCUCGAACCUGGCUAUCAUUCCUUUGAGAAUGGGACGAAGAGACCUAAUGGCGGGCUAUUUUACCCACCUCCUUUUACCAACCACUUUGGGGGGAGGCUGGGCCCCAUAUCCUAGUUUCACCCUAUUUUACCGAUUUGUCUAAUUUUCUAUGUAUCGAAUGGGAGAAAUCCUAUUUGAUCCAACCUAAGAUAUUAUCUUAACUAAGCACAACUCUUAGCAAUGGAUAUCUCGGUUCUC
Molecule: unclassified non-coding RNA, 401 nt
Filed under: fungal sp.
Lineage: Eukaryota; Fungi
Description: partial internal transcribed spacer region
Rfam family: Eukaryotic small subunit ribosomal RNA (bases 1-46)
Source: RNAcentral